RNAcentral lists this ribosomal RNA (490 nucleotides) under uncultured bacterium. RNAcentral describes it as "partial 16S ribosomal RNA". It matches the Rfam family "Bacterial small subunit ribosomal RNA", at positions 899 to 1397 of the family's 1533-position model. The record is from RNAcentral.
ACUCAAAUGAAUUGACGGGGAGGCACACAACCAGUGGAACAUGUGGUUUAAUUCGAAACGAACCGAAGAACCUCACCAAGGUUUGACAUCUUAUGGAAAGUUUUAUGAAAGUAGAACCCUUCGCAAGAACCGUAAGACAGGUGCUGCAUGGCUGUCGUCAGCUCGUUCCGUGAGGAGUACCCUUAAGUGGGACAACGAGCGCAACCCCCAUCUUGUGUUACAUUUGUCACAAGAGACUGCCCGAACUUUGUUCGGGAGGAAGGAGGGGCAGACGUCAAGUCAGCAUGGCCCUUAUACCUUGGGCUACACACAUGUUACAAUGGACAACAACAAUGAGCAUGCUACUUGGCAACAAGAUGCUAAUCUCAUAAAUUUGUCCUCAGUGGGGAUAGAGGUCUGCAACUCGACCUCUUGAACGCGGAAUUGGUAGUAAUCGCGGAUCAGUCAAGCCGCGGUGAAUACGUUCUUGCCUCUUGCACACACCGCCCGU